UACCAGCACCCCGAGUGGUCGGGACGAUUAUUGGGCCUAAAGCAUCCGUAGCCGGUUCUACAAGUCUUCCGUUAAAUCCACCUGCUUAACAGAUGGGCUGCGGAAGAUACUAUAGAGCUAGGAGGCGGGAGAGGCAAGCGGUACUCGAUGGGUAGGGGUAAAAUCCGUUGAUCCAUUGAAGACCACCAGUGGCGAAGGCGGCUUGCCAGAACGCACUCGACGGUGAGGGAUGAAAGCUGGGGGAGCAAACCGG
RNAcentral lists this ribosomal RNA (253 nucleotides) under uncultured bacterium. RNAcentral describes it as "partial 16S ribosomal RNA". It matches the Rfam family "Archaeal small subunit ribosomal RNA", at positions 474 to 727 of the family's 1478-position model. The record is from RNAcentral.